Molecule: ribosomal RNA, 381 nt
Filed under: uncultured eukaryote
Lineage: Eukaryota
Description: partial 18S ribosomal RNA
Rfam family: Eukaryotic small subunit ribosomal RNA
Source: RNAcentral
CAAUAGCGUAUAUUAAAGUUGUUGCAGUUAGAACGCUCGUAGUCGGAUUUCGGGGCGGGGCGACCGGUCUGCCGAUGGGUAUGCACUGGUCGGCGCGUCCUUCCUUCCGGAGACCGUUCCUACUCUUAACUGAGCGGGGGCGGGAGACGGAUCGUUUACUUUGAAAAAAUCAGAGUGUUUCAAGCAGGCAGCUCGCUCUUGCAUGGAUUAGCAUGGGAUAAUGAAAUAGGACUUUGGUGCUAUUUUGUUGGUUUCGAACACCGAAGUAAUGAUUAAAAGGGACAGUCAGGGGCACUCGUAUUCCGCCGAGAGAGGUGAAAUUCUCAGACCAGCGGAAGACGAACCACUGCGAAAGCAUUUGCCAGGGAUGUUUNCACUGGU